This is a non-coding RNA of Oncorhynchus mykiss (rainbow trout), 2755 nucleotides long. The record is from RefSeq and is a predicted model, not a curated record. NCBI's taxonomy places the organism in Eukaryota, Metazoa, Chordata, Actinopteri, Salmoniformes, Salmonidae.
UGGUUGGCAAAACAACGCCACCUGCUGGAGGGAGACAGAUUUUCCACCGAGGGGACCAAAAACAUUCACGAUGCCACUCCACUUGUGUCAAGGGAAGAGUAGAAUACUUUUAAAGAAAAGAAGAGAUUGAUUAAAUAUUGUUCUUGAAAUAUUUUAUUCACAAUAGUCCUAUGGUAAUCGAUGGCUUUCAUAAUGGCGACCGGUCUUAUUCAUAUGACCCAAGAUGUGAACACAAUAGAUGGUUGAUGGCUUCAAGGAUCCACCUACACCCAAAUACCCGAGUCAGGUCCGAAUACAGAAUUAUAAAUAAUGUCACGGGUCUGGGUCGAAUCUGAUUUUCACGAGUCUCGGGAGAGUGGAACAUGGCGCAUGUAGCUUGUUGGUCAUAAGUCAUCAAAGCAGGAAUACCACAGUUUGAGUCAUAAUACCCGUAAACCACGGAAAUGGUUCCAAUCGUUUUUUCACCAUUCAUUUUUCGGUAGGGGUCAAGGGAAGAUAAUUUAACGUUGGCGAUUAUCGUCUGACUACACGAACGAUGAGCUAACGUUUAACUAGCGAGCUAAACUUUAGAUAAAUAUCCAUGCCCUGAUGGACUAACAUUGCCAAGUACAUCACCACGUGGAAAAGUGACUAACUUACACGAACGAUGGGCAGACCGGAAACCCAGUGACAACACUCAGGUCUGUAGCUGCCAUUUUCCGGUGGGAAAGAGAAAUGGCCCUGUAUUUACCAGAAACGGUAGCUCAUCCACCAUGGCUGAAGAGGAAGAUCCAGAUGGUUGAUUGGGAAACAAGAAACAACAAUGAGGCAUGAGGAUUGGUUGUUGAGGGACUGCUUGUCACAUUGUCCACGUCCAACAGGAGUGCAUCUCUCAGACCAUCUGGGGCAUGGACAUCCUGUACCAGUCUGAUCCGAGCAGGAGUAUCCAUUUGUACAGCACAUCGAGCCUGUGGACGUACAGACAUGAGGUGUGACAUGUGGAACAUCAGGCACACCCCACGACAAGCAGUGCAUGAUCAACACCACUCUCAGCAAGGAGAUCUGCUGGAAGUGAUGUGCUCUCUCACUCUCACUCAUAAUUUUAACAUCACAAAUAUAAAUUCCCACUGAGCCCAUGAUAAAAUGCAAUGUGAAUUGUGUCGUACUUCUGAAUGAAACUGUGAGGAGAUGCACUCAGACCAGCCUUUGUGAUUGAACGUAUGUUAACCUCUUUACUUUAGUUGGCUGCUUUGAGCAAAACUUAAAUGUAAUAUAGCCUAUUCUAGGAGCCUAUUGUUUGUGUAUGAUCUUUAUUCACUGUUCACUUGUUUUUCAACAAUAUCAAGUAUGGGCAGGGACGACUGGGGCCUUCAGCAAGUAAGACACGGGAUAAGAAAUCAUUUCAACAUCACAGAUAUAAAUUCCCACUGUGCCCAUAAUAAAGUUAACUACAUUACUUUAGUUGUCUGCUUUGAGCAAAACUUGUAUGUAAUAUAACCUAUUCUGGGAGGUGUGUGUGUGUGUGUGAACUAUAUGGACUAUUUCUGGACCUUUUGGCUUCUCUGAAAACAGGUACAAUGUGAGUGAGGUCGUCUUGCUGGAUGGUGUUGGAGGCUUUGGUGGUCCACACAACGAAGAAGCAGGUGUUCCUUCCUGUGAUGUGGAGCUGACCUUUGACCUGGUGCCAGUGAGGGAGGUCUUCCCUCCUUGAUUUAAAAAUCCUCAGACUUCACUGCCUCUUCAAUGGUAAGGUCCCUUGCACCAUAGGGACACUUGAUCUACACCACUGCUGUGGUACACCAGUAGGCGCCCAAGAGCCCCCGACCAAAGCCCUGACUCCUGCACAUCCAUCCCUAUAGUCAUUUUGAAUAUCUGGAUGCCCUCCUCUUCAUUAUCUGCCCCACUUUAGAGACAGUACCCCAUCCAAUGAUUGAUCUGAGAACCCUUUGUAGCAGCGAUGUAGUAACGCGCUUGGCCUAACCACUGUUCCAUAAUUGCUGGCUGUCAACUUCCCUCCUCAUGGUGUGCCAGUUGGGGUUGGUGCGCGAUCCAACUGUUGCUUGCCGUAUAGCCUCCUGCUGCUACACCGACAGCGCCAUGCCAGCCAGGAUGCUUGCAUGCCCUUGUUUUUUUGUUUUUUUUAAACAAUGUCCAGUACGGACAGGGAUCACAGGGAGGGUAGCGGUUGUUCUGGCUCAGGUUCAAGGAGACAUGCUAUUCCACUGAACCUGCCACGAAGAUGGUUCCUUAGCCAUUGAAGAUCCUCCUCGGUGGGCUCUCGGGACAGAGGGUUGUAGUCUUCGACUGGGUACAGGUCCUCCACUGACUGUACCUGGUUGGGCACGGCUGUCUUCCUCCACUCGCAUUCCACGUCCGUACGGCCAAUAUUGUGAACCGCCAAAAUUGGCUGCAUCGCUACACUUACGAGCUCCACGGAGGCGUUUGCAUGUGGUAGAGAGAGUGCCCUGGUCACUUAUAGAGACCUGCCAAGAUGAAGGAUGUUAAGUGCCACACGCCUUUCAAUACAUGACUUUAAACACCUUGAAAUGCAUUCGUUGUAAGAAAUGUGAUAUAUAAAUAGUUUGAUUUGAUUAAUGACAUUACAGCUGUAAAAUAUUUAAUAAACUGUAAUUGCAGUGCAGGUUUUCCAUAAACCUUUAAUUGAUAACUUGGGAUUUUAUCAUUUGACAUCAAUCAUAUAGUGGGAAGGAUCCUAUAAAUCUAGACUGUAUGAACGCAUGUAUCACUCUGAAUAAAUAAAUACUGUGCCUUUGAA